CCGGUAAACGGCGGCCGUAACUAUAACGGUCCUAAGGUAGCGAAAUUCCUUGUCGGGUAAGUUCCGACCUGCACGAAUGGCGUAAUGAUGGCCAGGCUGUCUCCACCCGAGACUCAGUGAAAUUGAACUCGCUGUGAAGAUGCAGUGUACCCGCGGCAAGACGGAAAGACCCCGUGAACCUUUACUAUAGCUUGACACUGAACAUUGAGCCUUGAUGUGUAGGAUAGGUGGGAGGCUUUGAAGUGUGGACGC
This 252-nucleotide ribosomal RNA is filed under the name Escherichia coli. RNAcentral describes it as "partial 23S ribosomal RNA". It matches the Rfam family "Bacterial large subunit ribosomal RNA", at positions 1920 to 2171 of the family's 2925-position model. The record is from RNAcentral. Lineage: Bacteria; Pseudomonadati; Pseudomonadota; Gammaproteobacteria; Enterobacterales; Enterobacteriaceae.